Long non-coding RNA from Fundulus heteroclitus (mummichog), 1481 nucleotides. RefSeq lists it as uncharacterized. Lineage: Eukaryota; Metazoa; Chordata; Actinopteri; Cyprinodontiformes; Fundulidae. The transcript is spliced from 3 exons. The record is from RefSeq and is a predicted model, not a curated record.
UGAACAGUAUGUAAUAAUUUUAUAUUUAAAGUACUUUCAGCAGUUUUUGAAUUCUGAUUGUGACCAGACUUUUCCUUUUACAUAUUUGUUACGCCAGUUCAGGACGUGACAGCCUGCAUUAGUUUGGGACGUGACGGACUGCAUUUCCCAUGAUGCAAUGUGGUCAAAAUGGCCACCAACUCCCAUCAUGCAACACGGUCCAAAAUGGCCGCUGACCCUAAUGAUGGACGGAAAGAUAACGUUUCUAUGGGAAAGGUAUUUAUUCCGAUCGCACACUGUGAUCUUUCUUCUUUGGCACACCGCCACACCGGGAAGACAGACAGCGGUUUCACUCCGUGGGUCCCCCCCGUGCCACAUGCUCUAGCUUCUCGCUGGACUGAGGAUUUUUGGAGCAAAACCAUCCCUCUGUUGGACAGGAGGUCGACUUUAAAUAGUACUUUUGAAUUCCCUUUGAUCAAAGACUGAGAGCCGCCUUAUCUCCCAGUGAUCGUAAAAGGGACCACGCUUUCGUUUUGGCCAAGCAAAGCAUCCCGGAGAGCCCAGAGACUCCGGGGAUUUUCCUCAAGUAUCCUCGCUGACCGAAGGACCGACCGCCGGAGCUGCGGAGACCAGAUUCGGGGACCCCCCCUCUCCUUGCUGCCUGAUGGACCUGCGUUCGUGCAGGUCCGUCAGGUCCUGCGCUCUUUGUGAACCUCGGUUUGCACCCUUCUCUUGAGUCUCUCAUUCAGGACUUCUCUUUAAUCAAGGUGUCACCCGACAUCAGCGUAAGCGUUGAUUACGUCAUUAAGACCUCCCCCUUUACGUAUCAAGCAAGGUGAUGCGUAAAGGGUCACGUGUCGUCAUAGUCGCCAUCUUGGGGAGGUGCAACUGGCUAAGCUGUGUCAGGGUUCUCUGUUUGGCCGGUGCUCUAACUCUGCUUCACAGGUGGUUCUAGUUUGCUGGGGGUCGUUUGGAGCACUGUUUACUGUCGUCUUAAGGAAGGCACAGACAGAAGGAAGACGCCAGAGCCUUACCCAGUCAUGUUUUGUGUUUGGAUAACUCACCCGCCUUGACGUCUCGCUCUACGAACCAGCUUCCAAGAAUCCCUGAAGCUCAGAUGUUGCUCUGGCAUUCCCCCUCGUACUCUCUGGAUGUUACCAGGAUGGGCUCGAGGUUCCCUUCCCUGGAUUCUGCUGGUUCCCUCUGAUCUCUGGUCAAACCGUCUGUCUCCCCUGUCUGUCGUGGUUCGCUCCGGAUCCCUCGCCGCCUUGCCAUCAGUCUGCCCUCCAGUUGCUAACCACCGGCUAUCCUCGUGAGCACUCGGCCUCAGAGUUUCCCUCACCUUCCCCUCCCCGGUUAGGUUCGCUCAACUAAAUAUUCCUCCGGCAUUGACGUUCAGACCUUGACGGAUCUCCACACCCAUGCAAUGAUCCCUGUACCUGAACCAUUUAAUAAACACCUUUAAACUGCACUCUCUCUUCCGUAUUGUGUCUGCAUGUGGG